This is a long non-coding RNA of Lolium perenne, 432 nucleotides long. RefSeq lists it as uncharacterized. NCBI's taxonomy places the organism in Eukaryota, Viridiplantae, Streptophyta, Magnoliopsida, Poales, Poaceae. The record is from RefSeq and is a predicted model, not a curated record.
AGAGCAAGCAAAUCGCGAACAUCGAUGAGUACUCAAUCAAGAACUGCGUGGCUCGGCUAAACACAAUGGGAUUGUCACGAGAGGAGAAGGUAAAAGCCCUACAAGUCUUUAAGAAUGCUGACAAUCGCGAGCUCUUCAUUUGCGUUGAUGUGGAUACUGCUCUCAUGUGGCUGCAAGGCGAAAUGGCUUAGGAAAGGUACAUGAUAGAGGGAAAAGAGCUAGAGUUCCACAUGAAGAAGCUCCAGAAAAAGAUGGACAUUGGAUCAGUUUCUGCGUCUUUACUGCGGAGAAGCAAAAUAUUUAUUUGCUGGAUUUUGUUGUUUUUCCUCUUAAAAUUCGGAUGGAUCCAAAAGAAGACUGUUCUGGGAUCUUUUUUAUUAUCAACUAUUUAAGUACAACUACGUAGUAUUAAAAUCAUGUUGUUCUUGCGUA